UUAAAUCACUUAGAUCUGAUCGAGGUGGUGAAUAUUUGAGUCAAGAGUUUCGUGAUUGUUUAACAGAGAAUGCGAUUCUCAACAAUGGACUUCACUUAGAACACCACAACACAAUGGAGUUUCAGAAAGGAACGGUCCAUGAUGAGUCUUGCAGAUUUACCACUAUUUUUUGGAAAAUACCUUGCAAACUGUGAUAUAACUU
This 202-nucleotide long non-coding RNA is filed under the name Manihot esculenta (cassava). RNAcentral describes it as "long non-coding RNA (MESC_LNC010224)". Lineage: Eukaryota; Viridiplantae; Streptophyta; Magnoliopsida; Malpighiales; Euphorbiaceae. The record is from RNAcentral.